This 148-nucleotide non-coding RNA is filed under the name Chlorocebus sabaeus (green monkey). The record is from Rfam by way of RNAcentral. Lineage: Eukaryota; Metazoa; Chordata; Mammalia; Primates; Cercopithecidae.
GCCGGGCAUGGUGGCGCAUGCCUGUAAUCCCAGCUACUCAGGAGGCUGAGGUGGAAGAAUCGCUUGAACCCAGCGAACAGUGGUUGCAGUGAGCUGAGAUUGUGCCACCGCACUCCAGCCUGGGCAACAGAGCGAGACUCCAUCUCAA